UGGCAGAAAGUUGCUGACAAAUUAAACUCGACAGUGAAGCAACCCUGUCAGAUGACUGUGGUUUGGAGGAAGUCCCUGCAAAGAGGCCGGCAGAGAGGCCUGAUACAGAGGUGGGCAGUCUUGUAAUUAAUUUUACUUCCUAUAUGACAUGUAUUGACCAUUAAAUGUUGUCUCUACAAUUGAAACAGGGUGACAUUCGUUUGCUCUAUAAGAGAAGUCUCCAGCAAAAAAUGGAGUAUACUGAGCUAAAGAAACAAAAGCUUC
Molecule: long non-coding RNA, 264 nt
Organism: Oreochromis niloticus (Nile tilapia)
Lineage: Eukaryota; Metazoa; Chordata; Actinopteri; Cichliformes; Cichlidae
Exons: 3
Source: RefSeq, a predicted model, not a curated record